RNAcentral lists this ribosomal RNA (459 nucleotides) under Orgyia parallela. RNAcentral describes it as "partial large subunit ribosomal RNA". Lineage: Eukaryota; Metazoa; Arthropoda; Insecta; Lepidoptera; Erebidae. The record is from RNAcentral.
UGCCCACUGAUAAUUAUUAAAGGGCUGCAGUAAUUUGACUGUACAAAGGUAGCAUAAUCAUUAGUCAUUUAAUUGAUGACUUGUAUGAAAGAUUGGAUGAGAUAUAAACUGUCUUGGAAAUAAUGUAUAAAAUUUAAUUUUUUAAUUAAAAAGUUAAAAUAAGUAAAAAAGACGAGAAGACCCUAUAGAGUUUUAUUGUUAAAUGAGUUAUGGUUAUUUAUAUAGAAUAAUAUUUAAAUUUAUUUAAUAAUUUUGUUGGGGUGAUAGAGAAAUUUAAUGAACUUUUUUUUUUAUUUAACAUAGAUAAGUGAAUAGAUGAUCCAUUAUUAAUGAUUAUAAGAAAUAAUUACCUUAGGGAUAACAGCGUAAUUUUUUUUUUUAGUUCGUAUAAGAAAAAGAGUUUGCGACCUCGAUGUUGGAUUAAGAUAAAAUUUAAAUGUAGAAGUUUAAAAUUUUUGA